AAGGGUGUGGUUCAGUGGUAGAACAUGUGCUUGGCAUGCACAAGGCACCCUGG
Molecule: transfer RNA, 53 nt
Filed under: Cavia porcellus (domestic guinea pig)
Lineage: Eukaryota; Metazoa; Chordata; Mammalia; Rodentia; Caviidae
Rfam family: tRNA
About the family: Transfer RNA (tRNA) molecules are approximately 80 nucleotides in length. Their secondary structure includes four short double-helical elements and three loops (D, anti-codon, and T loops).
Source: Rfam by way of RNAcentral